GAUGAAGAACGUAGCGAAAUGCGAUAAGUAAUGUGAAUUGCAGAAUUCAGUGAAUCAUCGAAUCUUUGAACGCACAUUGCGCCCUCUGGUAUUCCGGGGGGCAUGCCUGUUCGAGCGUCAUUAUAACCACUCAAGCUCUCGCUUGGUAUUGGGGUUCGCGGUUCCGCGGCCCCUAAAAUCAGUGGCGGUGCCUGUCGGCUCUACGCGUAGUAAUACUCCUCGCGAUUGAGUCCGGUAGGUCUACUUGCCAGCAACCCCCAAUUUUUACAGGUUGACCUCGGAUCAGGUAGGGAUACCCGCUGAACUUAAGCAUAGCAAUAAGCGGAGGA
Molecule: unclassified non-coding RNA, 329 nt
Filed under: soil metagenome
Description: partial contains 5.8S ribosomal RNA, internal transcribed spacer 2, and large subunit ribosomal RNA
Rfam family: 5.8S ribosomal RNA (bases 1-120)
Source: RNAcentral